UACAGAGGGUGCGAACGUUGCUCGGAAUUACUGGGCGUAAAGCGCGUGUAGGCGGGUUCGCAAGUCAGACGGGAAAUCCCCGGGCUCAACUCGGGAACUGCGUCUGAAACUGCGAGCCUUGAGUACCGGAGAGGGUGGCGGAAUUCCUGGUGUAGAGGUGAAAUUCGUAGAUAUCAGGAGGAACACCGGUGGCGAAGGCGGCCACCUGGACGGUAACUGACGCUGAGACGCGAAAGCGUGGGGAGCAAACAGG
This 253-nucleotide ribosomal RNA is filed under the name uncultured bacterium. Its description in RNAcentral is "partial 16S ribosomal RNA". It matches the Rfam family "Bacterial small subunit ribosomal RNA", at positions 524 to 776 of the family's 1533-position model. The record is from RNAcentral.